Molecule: ribosomal RNA, 172 nt
Organism: Ipomoea nil (Japanese morning glory)
Lineage: Eukaryota; Viridiplantae; Streptophyta; Magnoliopsida; Solanales; Convolvulaceae
Rfam family: Bacterial large subunit ribosomal RNA
Source: Rfam
AUGAAGAAGGGCAUAGUAAUCGACGAAAUGCUUCGGGGAGUUGAAAAUAAGCAUAGAUCUGGAGAUUCCCAAAUAGGGCAACCUUUCGAACUGCUGCUGAAUCCAUGGGCAGUCAAGAGACAACCUGGCGAACUGAAACAUCUUAGUAGCCAGAGGAAAAGAAAGCAAAAUA